GCAUGGUGGCUUAGUGGUUAGCAUGUUGCUAACGUUGCACCUCCAGGGUUGGGGGUUCGAAUCCCACCCUGUGUG
This is a non-coding RNA of Ameiurus melas (black bullhead), 75 nucleotides long. The record is from the annotation of a GenBank genome assembly. NCBI's taxonomy places the organism in Eukaryota, Metazoa, Chordata, Actinopteri, Siluriformes, Ictaluridae.